UAUUUCCUACGGGAGGCAGCAGUGGGGAAUAUUGCACAAUGGGGGAAACCCUGAUGCAGCGACGCCGCGUGAGUGAAGAAGUAUUUCGGUAUGUAAAGCUCCAUCAGCAGGGAAGAAAAUGACGGUACCUGACUAAGAAGCCCCGGCUAACUACGUGCCAGCAGCCGCGGUAAUACGUAGGGGGCAAGCGUUAUCCGGAUUUACUGGGUGUAAAGGGAGCGUAGACGGCAGCGCAAGUCUGAAGUGAAAGCCCGGGGCUCAACCCCGGGACUGCUUUGGAAA
This 282-nucleotide ribosomal RNA is filed under the name uncultured bacterium. RNAcentral describes it as "partial 16S ribosomal RNA". It matches the Rfam family "Bacterial small subunit ribosomal RNA", at positions 333 to 632 of the family's 1533-position model. The record is from RNAcentral.